AUUGAACGCUGGCGGCAGGCUUAACACAUGCAAGUCGAGCGAGCGGCGGACGGGUGAGAAAUGUCUGGGAAACUGCCUGAUGGAGGGGGUUAACUACUGGAAACGGUAGCAAAUACCGCAAAGCAUCAGAUGUGCCCCGAUGGGAUUAGCGAGUAGUGGGGGUAAUGGCUCACCUAGGCGACGAUCACUGGUAGGUCUGAGAGGAGGACCAGCCGCACUGGAACUGUGACACGGUCCAGACUCCUCCGGGAGGCAGCGGUGGGGAUGAUUGCGCAAUGGGCGCAAGCCUGAUGCAGCCAUGCCGCGGGUGUGAAGAAGGCCUUCGGGGUGUAAGGCACUUUCAGCGAGGAGGCGUUACUCGCAGAAGAAGCACCGGCUAACUCCGUGCCAGCCGCCGCGGUAAUUC
This 406-nucleotide ribosomal RNA is filed under the name uncultured bacterium. RNAcentral describes it as "partial 16S ribosomal RNA". It matches the Rfam family "Bacterial small subunit ribosomal RNA", at positions 29 to 526 of the family's 1533-position model. The record is from RNAcentral.